AGCUCCGGUGGCCUAGUGGUUAGAGCCUCAGCCUUUUAUGUGGGAGGUCGUGGGUUCAAUCCCCGGUCGAGUCG
Molecule: non-coding RNA, 74 nt
Organism: Potamilus streckersoni
Lineage: Eukaryota; Metazoa; Mollusca; Bivalvia; Unionida; Unionidae
Source: the annotation of a GenBank genome assembly